AUUUUGUAAAGAAAAAUAAAGUAGAAAUUAGUCUAACCAAUUUUAAGUAUCCAAUUUACUAUAUAGCUAUAGUAAUCAAGCCCAUGAUAUUGGCAUAUAAAUCAGUGGAAGAGAAAACAGAAUUCAGAAAUAGAUCCACAUAAAUAUGCUUAAGUGGUUUUUGACAACAGUGAACACACAAUUCAGUGGAGGAAAGAUAACCUUUUUAACAAACAGUGCUAGAGCAAAAAGUUAAUUCUUUCUUUUUUUUCCUAAAGGUAACACCUGAGAUAGGGAGGAGCUGCAGCAGCUGGCCUAUGCCACAGCCCCAGCAAUGCCAGAUCCAAGCCAUAUCUGUGACCUACACUGCAGCUUGCGGCAACACCUGAUCCUUAACUCACUGAGUGAGGCCAGGCAUCGAACUUGCAUCUUCAGGAACUCCAGCAAAAAGUUAAUUUCAAUCUAAGUUGCACAUCUUAUACAGAAGUUACCUGAAAGGCAAGUAAAACCUUUGUCAUGGACGCUUAGCACUGGUCCUCAGAAGUGGAAGCCCCGAUCUAUUUUACCCUGAGAGAAAGGCGGGGAACACUCCUUUCUCCAUUUGAUCAGUAAUCCACUGUCGGAUGGAAUGGUGGAAAGUGAAAGAGCUGAGAAAAGCAGCUGUUUCAAGGAGGACUAUUCAUCCAACAAAGCCUUAUCAAGCACCAAACACUCAUUCAGUAGACACUGACUGGGUGCCUACCAGGAGUCAGCCACCACGCUGAGGAUACAGAGGUAACAAAAUACAGUGUUUGUCAUUCAGCUCUCACUGACGCUGGGGUGAAAGACGAGUGAACAGAUACCACACUGAACGGUGAACAAGUGGAGGGAAGCAGGGGGUGCAACAGAAGCAUGUAAGAUUGGCACCUAAGUCAGGAACUACCUUCUGUGAGCUGACUUCUGAGCUGAAAUCUGAAGGUUGAGAUAGUUAGUCAAGCAACUGAUAGACAUGGAGCUCAGGUGGCAAUACGGGGUCAAAUGAGACUGGAGGGGCUAGCAGAGGCAGUUCACAAAGGGCAUUUUAUCUAUGCUGAGAAACCUAGACUUUAUCCUGCAGAUCAAAUCAGGGCAAUUUUGCUCCCUCGACUCCUGGAGACAGUUGGCAAGGUCUGGAGUCACUUUAUAGGUUGUCAGAACUGGGUGGCUGGUAUGCUAACAACAUCUAGUAAGUAGAGGCCAAACUGCUGCUAAACAUCCAUGACAGGAAGACCCCCACCCCUGCCCCCCGCCAACAUUAAAGAAUUAGCUGAUGUCAAUAGUGCUGAAGUUGAGGAACCCUGGUGUCAACAAUGGGAGCUGCUGAAGUUUUAGGGAGAAGGGAUGGGAUUCUAUUUCCAUUUUAGAGAGAUCACUCUGGCAGCACUCUGAAGAACAGGAUCACAGUCAAGAAUGGAGGCGCAAAGAUCAGUUACGAGGUUGUGCUGAGAGGAUCUGUGGUCCUAAGGAGGGGAUAAGUGAAUUUGGAUAGAACAAAGGAGGACACUGUUGACUGGCCUAGUAGAUGCCGUGACAGAAACUGACAGGAGCAGAAGCAAAACCAGCACGUUGAAGGUUAUGAUUUGAGGACGCUUGUAAGCUAAUGGGCUGGAUAAGAGUUGGAAAAUGAGGUAGGCAGGUAUGAAAACAAGGGGCCAGGAGAGGAGGAGGCCCAGCGCCCAGGUGGAAGGUGCAGCUUUGGAUGUGUAUUUAAUAAAAUAAAACAGGAGGUCAUGAUGAGGUUCACCAGGAGGAGGGAGAAAGUUGAGAAAGUUCACGUUUGUAGUACUAUUACAGGCUCUUUGAAAGCAACUCAAAAUGUCAAAGACCCUUUGAGGGCUUACAUCCCUAGGAAGGGUCAAAAGAAAAUGUGCGUCUACUCACAACAUCCCUGCUAUUUAACCUCUUUUUGGCUUUCAAGACCAGCACAAACACAUCUUUCAGGAAGACUUCUUCUCUGGCAGCCCCAGUCAGAUGGAAGUCUCUUCCCUCCCUGGAUUGACACAGCACUUUGUACCCCUCACUGCCUGCACCUGGGACAGAGGCGCUACUUCUGUAUUUUCUAUAAGGCCUUGCACUAGUGUGAGAGCAAUAAGUACCGCCAAAUGGAUGAAGAUGGUCCUAAAAUCUGAGCAACAUGCACUGUGCAUGCCAGUGCCACAUGGGCAGCACAGACAUUGAGGGCUCUAGGAACCUGAAACAGAGAUCACACUCACACUGGGGAUGAUGAUGGAGGCUGCAUAGAAGAAAUGCCACUGGAGCUAUGUCUUAAGGGUUGAAAAAAAUGGGGAAAGGGAUGGAAAAAAUAUUCCACGUGGAGGAAAUUACUAUAGCAAAGCCACUUUAAAAGUAUGUUUAAAGAACAGCAAAUUAUUCUAUUUGCUGGAGAAGGUCCCAAAACAACAACAAAAGUAAUUGAUACUAGCAUUUAUUGAGCACUCAAAUAAGCAUUUUCCCUCCUUAUCUUGUUUAAUUUUCACAACCACUAAUAAGGUAGAUAAUGGUAUUAUCCUUAUCCUACAAAUCGGGGAAUAGGCCCAGAGAGUGGCUUCCUGAGGUGACUGGUAAGAAUGGUAGAAUCUGGGAUUAAACUGGGUUCUAAGUUCAAGCUCUCUUAACCACUCUACUGUGCAGCCUCACUCAGGCAGGGGUUUUGAACAUGGGGUCCACCGAUGGGCUGUUGGAGGGCCAUGAGUCCUGUGUAACUGUAUGCACAAUUUUGAGUAUACGUACAUUUUUCUGUGGAGAGGGCCUUUCACCAAAUUUUCAAAGGGGUUUGUAACCUCAAAAUGGUUAAGAACCACGGGUUUAUGGAAUUCUGUGCUGUAAGGCUGGGCCUGAAUAUGUAGGCUCCAAGGCGGGGAAGCUUGAAUUUAUACUGAGAGUCUGAACUAGUCCCUGAAGACAACGGAAGAUACUAGAAAUACUGAACUGUGAGCCACAAAAUCAAAGAAGUAUUUUGGCAGAUUACUAACACAUGCAAAGUAAGACAAGGCUUUGUGAAUACAUGGAUGUUAGAGAAGAAGGGAGAAGAAUGAGAAGUUGACAAAGGGAUUUUUUUCUAAAGGAAAAUCAGUGAAAAAUGAGAUCUUUUGAAUCACAAGGCAUUCAAAAACAAAUGAGCUUUUCUGACGUCUCACUUCUUUUAAAAUGGAAUUCACAAGGUUGUUCACAUUAAAAUCAUAAUGUAUGUAAUAAGGUUUAAAGAACUAAAAAGUAUCGUUAUCUAUUUUGUUCAGAAUUUCUCUGCUUAUCUCAUUUUUAUAAAGAGGAAGUCCAUAAAAUGAAGGGACUAGGUGUCAAUUUAAAAAGAGAACUUUUUUUUUAAUAAGAGUUUUAAUCUGGUCCAGUUCUUCUGAUAUCAAACACCAAUCUUGACACAUGUUUGCACAUACAAGCAGCCCCUACUUUGCCAGCAGCUACCACCUGUGGCCAAUUGUAUUUUUCAAGAUGACCACAACAUAAUUUCCCGACUCAGGUACAUUGUGAUGUUGACACUCCUCCCAAUGAGAGAUGUUCUUGACCCUUGAAUGUGGAUGGGCCUGUGACUACGAUGGAAGUGAUGCCAUAUGACCUCUGAGACUAGAUCAAAAAAGACAAUAUGGCUUCCACUUGAGUCUCUUGAGACACUUGUUCUUGGAACCCAGCUACCAUGCUAUGAGGAAGGCCAAGUCACAGGGAAAAGGCCAUUUGUAGAUGGUAUGGCUGACAGUGCCAGCUGAGGUCCUAGCCAACAGACUAUAUUAGCAGCCUGACGUGUGAAUGAAGAAGGCUUCAAGAUAAUUCUCGAUGCGGCUUGUGUCUGUCUGCCUAAGAAUUGCCUAGCUGAGCCUAGUCAAUCUCCAGAACAAUGAGUGAUAAUAAUUAAAUGACUGUUGUUGUUUUGAGCCACUAAAUACGGGGGAGACUCAUGACAAACCAAUAUAUAAUAGGAACACCACCCAACUCUUUUUACUUUCUAGCUAAGUUCCUUGAAAAAAACCCACAAAACAAAAAACCUACACUAGGCAUCUGCAUUCUUACUCCUCCAUCCACUGAAAUGUCACUACUGUCCCCACUGUUCUACUGUGGUUCCUAUAGCUGCUAGCCAAUGUCAGUGAUCCCUUAACUGCCAAAUAUAAUGGCUAACUUUUCAAUCUCUAACUUACACAUGAUCUUUCUGCACCAUAUGAUACUGUAAUAUAGUCCCACUUCUUCAGUUCUUACUGGGCUUCACAAAAGUGCAGACAGGGUCUCUAGCUCAUCUACCUAUAAGUAUGCCAGAAAUAGGCAAACAAUAAAAAUAAUUACAGGUCAUGACCUAAGGGGUGAAGAUAGCAUAUUGAACAAAUACAUAUGGUUUCACUUCAUUCCAAAACCUCAGUAAAACCUCAUUUAUUUUAAGGACAUAAAGCCUCCAAAACAGAGCGGGUGGGAGAAGUGAUAGCAAGUGGUUUCUGAAUUCUAGAAAGCAUAUCAACUAUUGAAAAUUACUUGAUGAACUCAAGAAAAUCAAAGGGAAAGCCAAGAACGAUUCUUAAAAGGCUCAGGAAUUGACAGCCCCAGACAUCUCCAGAAAUGGGAGCAAAAAGAAGUGGCUAAAAUAAAGAAGACUGGUUGAAGGCUGACUGAGAAGCUACUGGAUCUCCACAACCUCCUCUCUCUGUACCCCUGGGUGAUGGCCCCUCUCCCACCGUGGCAGGUAUCUAGAGAUUUAUUCCCUGUUAAGAGGUUUUGGACUCAGGGGUGGGGAUUGUCUCCAGACCCAGGGAAAGGCAGAGAUACCAUUACUGAAAAGAAGAGCACUGAAUGAAUGAUACAUAUUAAUGUUGAAAUUUAGCCCCUAAAUUAUUCCUCCAGGAAUUCAAUUAGGCUUUUACUCUCAGAAGACUGGAGGAGUUCUCAGGGAAAAGUGACCAGCCUGAGAGGAAGAGCUUAAAGUACAGAUGUGGGAAAGGGAGUCCCAAAAUCACAGCCCAGUGGGAUCUUCUGGUAAUUAAUUUCACCAUCAACAUCAGCAACCCCCUCCCAAACUCUACUCACAACCAUAAAUUAACAACUGGAGAUGAAAAGAAGUUGGAGAACACUGCUAUGGGCUGAAUUAUGUCCCUGGAAAAUCUGUGUGUUGAAGCUCUAACUCUCAGUGUGACUGUAUUGGAGAGAGGCCCUUUGGGAGGUAAUUAAGGUUAAAUGAUGUCAUAAGGAUGUGGCCCACAUCCUAUAGGAUUAGUGUCCCUAUAAAAACAGACACCAAAGAGCUCAUUCUCUUAAGCGCACAUUGAAAGAAGAGGUCAUCUAAGCACAUGGCAAGAAAGUGGCCAUCCACAAGCCAGGAGAUGGCUUUUCUCACCAAAAACUAAAUCACCCAGCACCUCAAUCUUGGACUUCAAAGUCUCCAAAACUAUGAGAUAUAAAUUUCUGUUGUUUAAGCCACCCAUUCUGUGAUAUUUUGUCAUGGAAGUCCAAGCUGACUAUUACAGACAUCACCGACAAAACAAAAAGAAAAUAUUGCAAUUUAGAGGCAACUGAGACUAUGUAGGGAGAAAAAAACCUAUCAUUAAAGCAUUUAGACUUGUGGUUGCCAAGGGAGAGGGGGAGGGAGCAGGAUGGACUGGGAACUUGGGGUCAAUAGAUGCAGACUACUGCUUUGGA
Molecule: non-coding RNA, 5625 nt
Organism: Sus scrofa (pig)
Lineage: Eukaryota; Metazoa; Chordata; Mammalia; Artiodactyla; Suidae
Source: RefSeq, a predicted model, not a curated record